UGAGGAAUAUUGGGCAAUGCCCGCAAGGGUGACCCAGCAACGCCGCGUGGAGGAUGAAUGUCGUAAGAUUGUAAACUCCUGUUAGAGGGGAAGAAUAGUACCGGUUGGACCGGUAUAUGACUGUACCCUCAGAGAAAGCCCCGGCUAACUACGUGCCAGCAGCCGCGGUAAUACGUAGGGGGCAAGCGUUGUCCGGAUUUACUGGGUGUAAAGGGCGCGCAGGCGGGAUAAAAAGUCAGUGGUGAAAUCCUACAGCUUAACUGUAGAACUGCCUUUGAUACUUUUAUUCUUGAGUUCGGGAGAGAGAGACGGAAUUCCAGGUGUAGUGGUGAAAUACGUAGAUAUCUGGAAGAACACCAGUUGCGAAGGCGGUCUCUUGGUCCGACACUGACGCUGAGGCGCGAAAGCGUGGGGAGCAAACA
This 422-nucleotide ribosomal RNA is filed under the name uncultured bacterium. Its description in RNAcentral is "bacterial SSU rRNA". It matches the Rfam family "Bacterial small subunit ribosomal RNA", at positions 355 to 774 of the family's 1533-position model. The record is from RNAcentral.